UAGGGAAUCUUCGGCAAUGGACGAAAGCCUGACCGAGCAACGCCGCGUGAGUGAAGAAGGUUUUCGGAUCGUAAAACUCUGUUGUUAGAGAAGAACAAGGACGUUAGUAACUGAACGUCCCCUGACGGUAUCUAACCAGAAAGCCACGGCUAACUACGUGCCAGCAGCCGCGGUAAUACGUAGGUGGCAAGCGUUGUCCGGAUUUAUUGGGCGUAAAGCGAGCGCAGGCGGUUUCUUAAGUCUGAUGUGAAAGCCCCCGGCUCAACCGGGGAGGGUCAUUGGAAACUGGGAGACUUGAGUGCAGAGGAGGAGAGUGGAAUUCCAUGUGUAGCGGUGAAAUGCGUAGAUAUAUGGAGGAACACCAGUGGCGAAGGCGGCUCUCUGGUCUGUAACUGACGCUGAGGUUCGAAAGCGUGGGGAGCAAACAGG
Molecule: ribosomal RNA, 429 nt
Filed under: Chloroflexota bacterium
Lineage: Bacteria; Bacillati; Chloroflexota
Description: Chloroflexi bacterium partial 16S ribosomal RNA
Rfam family: Bacterial small subunit ribosomal RNA
Source: RNAcentral